AAGAACCACCAGGGAUUGCCCUAGUAACGGCGAGUGAAGCGGCAACAGCUCAAAUUUGAAAUCUGGCUCUUUCAGGGUCCGAGUUGUAAUUUGCAGAGGGCGCUUUGGCGUUGGCAGCGGUCCAAGUUCCUUGGAACAGGACGUCACAGAGGGUGAGAAUCCCGUACGUGGUCGCUGGCCUUCGCCGUGUAAAGCCCCUUCGACGAGUCGAGUUGUUUGGGAAUGCAGCUCUAAAUGGGAGGUAAAUUUCUUCUAAAGCUAAAUACUGGCCAGAGACCGAUAGCGCACAAGUAGAGUGAUCGAAAGAUGAAAAGCACUUUGGAAAGAGAGUCAAAUAGCACGUGAAAUUGUUGAAAGGGAAGCGCUUGCAGCCAGACUUGCCUGUAGUUGCUCAUCCGGGCUUCUGCCCGGUGCACUCUUCUAUAGGCAGGCCAGCAUCAGUUUGGGCGGUUGGAUAAAGGUCUCUGUCAUGUACCUCUCUUCGGGGAGGCCUUAUAGGGGAGACGACAUGCAACCAGCCUGGACUGAGGUCCGCGCAUUUUGCUAGGAUGCUGGCGUAAUGGCUGUAAGCGGCCCGUCUUGAAACACGGACCAAGGAGUCUAACAUCUAUGCGAGUGUUUGGGUGUCAAGCCCGAACGCGUAAUGAAAGUGAACGGAGGUGGGAACCCUUUAGGGCGCACCAUCGACCGAUCCUGAUGUCUUCGGAAGGAUUUGAGUAAGAGCAUGGCUGUUGGGACCCGAAAGAUGGUGAACUAUGCUUGAAUAGGGUGAAGCCAGAGGAAACUCUGGUGGAGGCUCGCAGCGGUUCUGACGUGCAAAUCGAUCGUCAAAUUUGGGCAUAGGGGCGAAAGACUAAUCGAACU
This 864-nucleotide ribosomal RNA is filed under the name Plenodomus sinensis. RNAcentral's name for it is "partial large subunit ribosomal RNA". It matches the Rfam family "Eukaryotic large subunit ribosomal RNA", at positions 56 to 941 of the family's 3401-position model. The record is from RNAcentral. Lineage: Eukaryota; Fungi; Ascomycota; Dothideomycetes; Pleosporales; Leptosphaeriaceae.